This 467-nucleotide ribosomal RNA is filed under the name uncultured bacterium. RNAcentral's name for it is "partial 16S ribosomal RNA". It matches the Rfam family "Bacterial small subunit ribosomal RNA", at positions 28 to 506 of the family's 1533-position model. The record is from RNAcentral.
GACGAACGCUGGCGGCGUGCUUAACACAUGCAAGUCGAACGGAAAGGCCCUGCUUUUGUGGGGUGCUCGAGUGGCGAACGGGUGAGUAACACGUGAGUAACCUGCCCUUGACUUUGGGAUAACUUCAGGAAACUGGGGCUAAUACCGGAUAGGAGCUCCUGCUGCAUGGUGGGGGUUGGAAAGUUUCGGCGGUUGGGGAUGGACUCGCGGCUUAUCAGCUUGUUGGUGGGGUAGUGGCUUACCAAGGCUUUGACGGGUAGCCGGCCUGAGAGGGUGACCGGCCACAUUGGGACUGAGAUACGGCCCAGACUCCUACGGGGGGCAGCAGUGGGGAUUAUUGCACAAUGGGCGGAAGCCUGAUGCAGCAACGCCGCGUGCGGGAUGACGGCCUUCGGGUUGUAAACCGCUUUCGCCUGUGACGAAGCGUGAGUGACGGUAAUGGGUAAAGAAGCACCGGCUAACUACGU